GGGACCUUGGCGCAGUUGGCUAGCGCGCAGGUCUCAUACCCUGUAUGAUCUGGCUUAACGUCAGAGUAAUCCUGAGGUCGGGAGUUCGAGCCUCCCAGGUCCCA
Transfer RNA from Sordaria macrospora k-hell, 104 nucleotides. It matches the Rfam family "tRNA". From Rfam's summary of the family: Transfer RNA (tRNA) molecules are approximately 80 nucleotides in length. The record is from Rfam. Lineage: Eukaryota; Fungi; Ascomycota; Sordariomycetes; Sordariales; Sordariaceae.